This 1391-nucleotide ribosomal RNA is filed under the name Streptococcus sp. 2010_Ileo_MS_XIc. Its description in RNAcentral is "bacterial SSU rRNA". It matches the Rfam family "Bacterial small subunit ribosomal RNA", at positions 65 to 1442 of the family's 1533-position model. The record is from RNAcentral. Lineage: Bacteria; Bacillati; Bacillota; Bacilli; Lactobacillales; Streptococcaceae.
CGCUGAAGAGAGGAGCUUGCUCUUCUUGGAUGAGUUGCGAACGGGUGAGUAACGCGUAGGUAACCUGCCUUGUAGCGGGGGAUAACUAUUGGAAACGAUAGCUAAUACCGCAUAACAAUGGAUGACACAUGUCAUUUAUUUGAAAGGGGCAAUUGCUCCACUACAAGAUGGACCUGCGUUGUAUUAGCUAGUAGGUGAGGUAACGGCUCACCUAGGCGACGAUACAUAGCCGACCUGAGAGGGUGAUCGGCCACACUGGGACUGAGACACGGCCCAGACUCCUACGGGAGGCAGCAGUAGGGAAUCUUCGGCAAUGGGGGCAACCCUGACCGAGCAACGCCGCGUGAGUGAAGAAGGUUUUCGGAUCGUAAAGCUCUGUUGUAAGUCAAGAACGAGUGUGAGAGUGGAAAGUUCACACUGUGACGGUAGCUUACCAGAAAGGGACGGCUAACUACGUGCCAGCAGCCGCGGUAAUACGUAGGUCCCGAGCGUUGUCCGGAUUUAUUGGGCGUAAAGCGAGCGCAGGCGGUUUGAUAAGUCUGAAGUUAAAGGCUGUGGCUCAACCAUAGUUCGCUUUGGAAACUGUCAAACUUGAGUGCAGAAGGGGAGAGUGGAAUUCCAUGUGUAGCGGUGAAAUGCGUAGAUAUAUGGAGGAACACCGGUGGCGAAAGCGGCUCUCUGGUCUGUAACUGACGCUGAGGCUCGAAAGCGUGGGGAGCGAACAGGAUUAGAUACCCUGGUAGUCCACGCCGUAAACGAUGAGUGCUAGGUGUUGGAUCCUUUCCGGGAUUCAGUGCCGCAGCUAACGCAUUAAGCACUCCGCCUGGGGAGUACGACCGCAAGGUUGAAACUCAAAGGAAUUGACGGGGGCCCGCACAAGCGGUGGAGCAUGUGGUUUAAUUCGAAGCAACGCGAAGAACCUUACCAGGUCUUGACAUCCCGAUGCUAUUUCUAGAGAUAGAAAGUUACUUCGGUACAUCGGUGACAGGUGGUGCAUGGUUGUCGUCAGCUCGUGUCGUGAGAUGUUGGGUUAAGUCCCGCAACGAGCGCAACCCCUAUUGUUAGUUGCCAUCAUUCAGUUGGGCACUCUAGCGAGACUGCCGGUAAUAAACCGGAGGAAGGUGGGGAUGACGUCAAAUCAUCAUGCCCCUUAUGACCUGGGCUACACACGUGCUACAAUGGUUGGUACAACGAGUUGCGAGUCGGUGACGGCAAGCUAAUCUCUUAAAGCCAAUCUCAGUUCGGAUUGUAGGCUGCAACUCGCCUACAUGAAGUCGGAAUCGCUAGUAAUCGCGGAUCAGCACGCCGCGGUGAAUACGUUCCCGGGCCUUGUACACACCGCCCGUCACACCACGAGAGUUUGUAACACCCGAAGUCGGUGAGGUAACCUU